Molecule: ribosomal RNA, 1542 nt
Filed under: Klebsiella pneumoniae 30684/NJST258_2
Lineage: Bacteria; Pseudomonadati; Pseudomonadota; Gammaproteobacteria; Enterobacterales; Enterobacteriaceae
Description: bacterial SSU rRNA
Rfam family: Bacterial small subunit ribosomal RNA
Source: RNAcentral
AAAUUGAAGAGUUUGAUCAUGGCUCAGAUUGAACGCUGGCGGCAGGCCUAACACAUGCAAGUCGAGCGGUAGCACAGAGAGCUUGCUCUCGGGUGACGAGCGGCGGACGGGUGAGUAAUGUCUGGGAAACUGCCUGAUGGAGGGGGAUAACUACUGGAAACGGUAGCUAAUACCGCAUAACGUCGCAAGACCAAAGUGGGGGACCUUCGGGCCUCAUGCCAUCAGAUGUGCCCAGAUGGGAUUAGCUAGUAGGUGGGGUAACGGCUCACCUAGGCGACGAUCCCUAGCUGGUCUGAGAGGAUGACCAGCCACACUGGNACUGAGACACGGUCCAGACUCCUACGGGAGGCAGCAGUGGGGAAUAUUGCACAAUGGGCGCAAGCCUGAUGCAGCCAUGCCGCGUGUGUGAAGAAGGCCUUCGGGUUGUAAAGCACUUUCAGCGGGGAGGAAGGCGAUAAGGUUAAUAACCUUGUCGAUUGACGUUACCCGCAGAAGAAGCACCGGCUAACUCCGUGCCAGCAGCCGCGGUAAUACGGAGGGUGCAAGCGUUAAUCGGAAUUACUGGGCGUAAAGCGCACGCAGGCGGUCUGUCAAGUCGGAUGUGAAAUCCCCGGGCUCAACCUGGGAACUGCAUUCGAAACUGGCAGGCUAGAGUCUUGUAGAGGGGGGUAGAAUUCCAGGUGUAGCGGUGAAAUGCGUAGAGAUCUGGAGGAAUACCGGUGGCGAAGGCGGCCCCCUGGACAAAGACUGACGCUCAGGUGCGAAAGCGUGGGGAGCAAACAGGAUUAGAUACCCUGGUAGUCCACGCCGUAAACGAUGUCGAUUUGGAGGUUGUGCCCUUGAGGCGUGGCUUCCGGAGCUAACGCGUUAAAUCGACCGCCUGGGGAGUACGGCCGCAAGGUUAAAACUCAAAUGAAUUGACGGGGGCCCGCACAAGCGGUGGAGCAUGUGGUUUAAUUCGAUGCAACGCGAAGAACCUUACCUGGUCUUGACAUCCACAGAACUUUCCAGAGAUGGAUUGGUGCCUUCGGGAACUGUGAGACAGGUGCUGCAUGGCUGUCGUCAGCUCGUGUUGUGAAAUGUUGGGUUAAGUCCCGCAACGAGCGCAACCCUUAUCCUUUGUUGCCAGCGGUCCGGCCGGGAACUCAAAGGAGACUGCCAGUGAUAAACUGGAGGAAGGUGGGGAUGACGUCAAGUCAUCAUGGCCCUUACGACCAGGGCUACACACGUGCUACAAUGGCAUAUACAAAGAGAAGCGACCUCGCGAGAGCAAGCGGACCUCAUAAAGUAUGUCGUAGUCCGGAUUGGAGUCUGCAACUCGACUCCAUGAAGUCGGAAUCGCUAGUAAUCGUAGAUCAGAAUGCUACGGUGAAUACGUUCCCGGGCCUUGUACACACCGCCCGUCACACCAUGGGAGUGGGUUGCAAAAGAAGUAGGUAGCUUAACCUUCGGGAGGGCGCUUACCACUUUGUGAUUCAUGACUGGGGUGAAGUCGUAACAAGGUAACCGUAGGGGAACCUGCGGUUGGAUCACCUCCUUACC